AUUUACGGGAGGCAGCAGUGGGGAAUCUUGCACAAUGGGGGAAACCCUGAUGCAGCGAUGUCGCGUGAGUGAAGAAGGCCCUUGGGUUGUAAAGCUCUUUCGUCGGGGAAGAAAAUGACUGUACCCGAAUAAGAAGGUCCGGCUAACUUCGUGCCAGCAGCCGCGGUAAU
This 170-nucleotide ribosomal RNA is filed under the name uncultured bacterium. Its description in RNAcentral is "partial 16S ribosomal RNA". It matches the Rfam family "Bacterial small subunit ribosomal RNA", at positions 337 to 524 of the family's 1533-position model. The record is from RNAcentral.